UAGAUCAAUGAUGACUACUGGUGGCAUCUGAGUCAUAUAUGAUGAAUAUGUGUCUGGAACUCUGAUAGAUAGAUGUCAGGAUCAAU
Myotis lucifugus (little brown bat) is the source of this 86-nucleotide small nucleolar RNA. Lineage: Eukaryota; Metazoa; Chordata; Mammalia; Chiroptera; Vespertilionidae. The record is from Ensembl.